GAGAUCUCUCACGACGGGAAAGGCCACGGAGGAGGAGGACGAGAAGAAGAGGAAGGGAGAGGAGAGGGGAAGCAGAGCCCCUCACCCUGACCCUAUCUUCUCCUGUUCUCCGUCUAUUUUGUUGGUCGGCAUGGGGGACUUGGAGAGGAAGGUGAAGGAGAAGGCGAGGGAGGUGAAGCUUUAUCUCAAGUCCAAGGAGUUCAAGCGUUUCCUGAAGAAGGCAAAGAAGGUGGUGGGGAAGACAUGCAAGAUGGGCUGGAAAAAGGUCCAAAAGCACUCCAACUGAUGGCCUUCUGCAUUGUUCGCUAGAGCUCUCCCUUCCUGCAUUUAUUUUGAAGGUUCUGGUCAUGGGGCUCUGCAGUGCUGCUAGUCUCUCUUUCUUUCAUUGGUCAGAUUAAUCUCUGUCGAUGCUUAUUAAGAGCACCAACAAUGUUAGAAAUAACAGCAGCUAUUAUCUUCAUUUUAUCGAGGGCCUUGAUUUUUCUUUCAAUUAUCUAGAAAGAUUAUGUUUGCUCUUUCCAGGGUCAUGCAAAAAAAUUUGUCUCAUCAAUGCAGGCAGAAAUAUAUUAUCUGCCCUAAGUGUCUUAUGAACUGAUGCGAUGCAAUAAUUAUAUCAUCAAUGUUUCUAAAUUCCUAUGAAAUAUAAA
Non-coding RNA from Phoenix dactylifera (date palm), 647 nucleotides. Lineage: Eukaryota; Viridiplantae; Streptophyta; Magnoliopsida; Arecales; Arecaceae. The record is from RefSeq and is a predicted model, not a curated record.